AACGCGAAGAACCUUACCUGGGCUCGAAAUGUUGUGGACCGGGGUGGAAACAUCCCUUCCCCGCAAGGGGCCGCAAUAUAGGUGCUGCAUGGCUGUCGUCAGCUCGUGUCGUGAGAUGUUGGGUUAAGUCCCGCAACGAGCGCAACCCUUAUCUUCAGUUGCUACCAUUUAGUUGAGCACUCUGACGAAACCGCCUCGGAUAACGGGGAGGAAGGUGGGGAUGACGUCAAGUCCUCAUGGCCUUUAUGUCCAGGGCUACACACGUGCUACAAUGGCCGGUACAAACCGUCGCAAACCCGCGAGGGGGAGCUAAUCGGAAAAAGCCGGCCUCAGUUCGGAUUAGAGUCUGCAACUCGACUCUAUGAAGCUGGAAUCGCUAGUAAUCGCGGAUCAGAACGCCGCGGUGAAUACGUUCCCGGGCCUUGUA
Molecule: ribosomal RNA, 427 nt
Filed under: uncultured Acidobacterium sp.
Lineage: Bacteria; Pseudomonadati; Acidobacteriota; Terriglobia; Terriglobales; Acidobacteriaceae
Description: bacterial SSU rRNA
Rfam family: Bacterial small subunit ribosomal RNA
Source: RNAcentral